RNAcentral lists this ribosomal RNA (1382 nucleotides) under uncultured bacterium. Its description in RNAcentral is "bacterial SSU rRNA". It matches the Rfam family "Bacterial small subunit ribosomal RNA". The record is from RNAcentral.
GAAUUCGCCCUUAGAGUUUGAUCCUGGCUCAGGACGAACGCUGGCGGCGCGCCUAACACAUGCAAGUCGAACGAGAGAUGAGGAGCUUGCUCUUCAAAUCGAGUGGCGAACGGGUGAGUAACGCGCGAGGAACCUGCCUCAAAGAGGGGGACAACAGUUGGAAACGACUGCUAAUACCGCAUAAGCCCACGGCUCGGCAUCGAGCAGAGGGAAAAGGAGCAAUCCGCUUUGAGAUGGCCUCGCGUCCGAUUAGCUAGUUGGUGAGGUAACGGCCCACCAAGGCGACGAUCGGUAGCCGGACUGAGAGGUUGAACGGCCACAUUGGGACUGAGACACGGCCCAGACUCCUACGGGAGGCAGCAGUGGGGAAUAUUGCACAAUGGGGGAAACCCUGAUGCAGCGACGCCGCGUGGAGGAAGAAGGUCUUCGGAUUGUAAACUCCUGUUGUUGAGGAAGAUAAUGACGGUACUCAACAAGGAAGUGACGGCUAACUACGUGCCAGCAGCCGCGGUAAAACGUAGGUCACAAGCGUUGUCCGGAAUUACUGGGUGUAAAGGGAGCGCAGGCGGGAGAACAAGUUGGAAGUGAAAUCCAUGGGCUCAACCCAUGAACUGCUUUCAAAACUGUUUUUCUUGAGUAGUGCAGAGGUAGGCGGAAUUCCCGGUGUAGCGGUGGAAUGCGUAGAUAUCGGGAGGAGCACCAGUGGCGAAGGCGGCCUACUGGGCACCAACUGACGCUGAGGCUCGAAAGUGUGGGUAGCAAACAGGAUUAGAUACCCUGGUAGUCCACACCGUAAACGAUGAUUACUAGGUGUUGGAGGAUUGACCCCUUCAGUGCCGCAGUUAACACAAUAAGUAAUCCACCUGGGGAGUACGACCGCAAGGUUGAAACUCAAAGGAAUUGACGGGGGCCCGCACAAGCAGUGGAGUAUGUGGUUUAAUUCGACGCAACGCGAAGAACCUUACCAAGUCUUGACAUCCCUUGACGAUACUGGAAACAGUAUUUCUCUUCGGAGCAAGGAGACAGGUGGUGCAUGGUUGUCGUCAGCUCGUGUCGUGAGAUGUUGGGUUAAGUCCCGCAACGAGCGCAACCCUUAUUGCCAGUUACUACGUUAAGAGGACUCUGGCGAGACUGCCGUUGACAAAAUGGAGGAAGGUGGGGAUGACGUCAAAUCAUCAUGCCCCUUAUGACCAGGGCUACACACGUGCUACAAUGGCGUAAACAAAGGGAAGCAGAGCCGCGAGGCCGAGCAAAUCUCAAAAAUAACGUCUCAGUUCGGAUUGUAGUCUGCAACUCGACUACAUGAAGCUGGAAUCGCUAGUAAUCGCAGAUCAGAAUGCUGCGGUGAAUACGUUCCCGGGUCUUGCACACACCGCCCGUCA